UACAGAGGUCCCAAGCGUUGUUCGGAUUCACUGGGCGUAAAGGGUGCGUAGGUGGCGAGGUAAGUCGGAUGUGAAAGCUCGGAGCUCAACUCCGAAAUGGCAUUGGAAACUACCUUGCUCGAGGGUUGGAGGGGGGACUGGAAUUCUCGGUGUAGCAGUGAAAUGCGUAGAUAUCAGGAGGAACACCGAUGGCGAAGGCAGGUCUCUGGGCUGACACUGACGCUCAUGCACGAAAGCGUGGGGAGCAAACAGG
RNAcentral lists this ribosomal RNA (253 nucleotides) under uncultured bacterium. Its description in RNAcentral is "partial 16S ribosomal RNA". It matches the Rfam family "Bacterial small subunit ribosomal RNA", at positions 524 to 776 of the family's 1533-position model. The record is from RNAcentral.